This 497-nucleotide ribosomal RNA is filed under the name uncultured bacterium. Its description in RNAcentral is "partial 16S ribosomal RNA". It matches the Rfam family "Bacterial small subunit ribosomal RNA", at positions 28 to 507 of the family's 1533-position model. The record is from RNAcentral.
GAUGAACGCUGGCGGCGUGCCUAAUACAUGCAAGUCGAGCGAACAGACGAGGAGCUUGCUCCUCUGACGUUAGCGGCGGACGGGUGAGUAACACGUGGAUAACCUACCUAUAAGACUGGGAUAACUUCGGGAAACCGGAGCUAAUACCGGAUAAUAUAUUGAACCGCAUGGUUCAAUAGUGAAAGACGGUUUUGCUGUCACUUAUAGAUGGAUCCGCGCCGCAUUAGCUAGUUGGUAAGGUAACGGCUUACCAAGGCAACGAUGCGUAGCCGACCUGAGAGGGUGAUCGGCCACACUGGAACUGAGACACGGUCCAGACUCCUACGGGAGGCAGCAGUAGAGAAUCUUCCGCAAAGGGCGAAAGCCUGACGGAGCAACGCCGCGUGAGUGAUGAAGGUCUUCGGAUCGUAAAACUCUGUUAUUAGGGAAGAACAAAUGUGUAAGUAACUAUGCACGUCUUGACGGUACCUAAUCAGAAAGCCACGGCUAACUACGUG